RNAcentral lists this ribosomal RNA (500 nucleotides) under uncultured bacterium. RNAcentral's name for it is "partial 16S ribosomal RNA". It matches the Rfam family "Bacterial small subunit ribosomal RNA", at positions 30 to 523 of the family's 1533-position model. The record is from RNAcentral.
AUUGAACGCUGGCGGCAUGCCUUACACAUGCAAGUCGAACGGCAGCACGGGAGCAAUCCUGGUGGCGAGUGGCGAACGGGUGAGUAAUGUAUCGGAACGUGCCCAGUCGUGGGGGAUAACGUAGCGAAAGCUACGCUAAUACCGCAUACGAUCUAUGGAUGAAAGCGGGGGAUCGCAGGACCUCGCGCGAUUGGAGCGGCCGAUAUCAGAUUAGGUAGUUGUUGGGGUAAAGGCCCACCAAACCUGCGAUCUGUAGCUGGUCUGAGAGGACGACCAGCCACACUGGAACUGAGACACGGUCCAGACUCCUACGGGAGGCAGCAGUGGGGAAUUUUGGACAAUGGGCGCAAGCCUGAUCCAGCAAUGCCGCGUGCAGGAUGAAGGCCUUCGGGUUGUAAACUGCUUUUGUACGGAACGAAACGGCUUUUUCUAAUACAGAGAGCUAACGACGGUACUGUAAGAAUAAGCACCGGCUAACUACGUGCCAGCCGCCGCAGUAA